GACACCAGUUGAUCCUGCUGGAGGAUACUGCUAUCGGAUUUCGACUAAGCCAUGCAAGUCUAGUGACUCGACUUCGAGUCACGGCGAAUGGCUCAGUAACACGUAGUCAAUCUGCCUUUCGGACGGGGAUAACCUUGAGAAAUUGAGGGUAAAACCCGAUAGGACAAGAAAUCUGGAAUUGAUUCUUGUCCCAAUAGAUCAACAAAUUGUAGUUGAAUCGCCGAAAGAUGAGACUGCGGCUGAUUAGGCUGUUGGCGAGGUAACGGCUCACCAAACCAUUGAUCAGUACGGGCUAUGUGAGUAGAUGCCCGGAGACGGACACUGAGACAAGGGUCCGAGCCCUACGGGGUGCAGCAGGCGCGAAACUUCCACAAUGCGCGAAAGCGUGAUGGGGGGAAUCCGAGUGCAGCUCGAAAGAGUUGCUUUUGUUCGGCUUGAAUAGCCGGACGAAUAAGUUCUGGGUAAGUCCUGUGCCAGCCGCCGCGGUAACACAGGCAGAACAAGUGGUAUCCACGAAUAUUGAGCUUAAAGCGUCCGUAGCCGGCUUAGCAAAUUUUCUGUGAAAUCUAUCGGCUUAACCGAUAGGCGUGCAGGAAACACUACUAGGCUGGAGAGUGGGGGAGGUCAAAGGUACUCUAGGGGGAGGAGUAAAAUCCUGUAAUCCUUAGAGGACCAUCUGUGGCGAAGGCGUUUGACCAAAACACAUCUGACGGUGAGGGACGAAGGCUAGGGGAGCGAAUCGGAUUAGAUACCCGAGUAGUCCUAGCAGUAAAUUAUGCAGACUGGGCGUUGCAAUAACUUCGUGUUGUUGCAGUGCCGUAGGGAAACUGUUUAGUCUGCCGCUUGGGGAGUACGAUCGCAAGAUUGAAACUUAAAGGAAUUGGCGGGGGAGCACCACAAGGGGUGGAUGCUGCGGUUCAAUUGGACUCAACGCCGGGAAGCUCACCCAGAGAGACAGCAGUAUGAAGCCCAAGCUAAAGACUUUGGCUAACGAGCUGAGAAGUGUUGCAUGGCCAGCGUCAGUUCGUGCCGUGAGGUGUCAAGUUAAGUCUUGCAACGAACGAGAUCUCUAUCUACUGUUGCUAGUUGGAGAGAAAUUUUUAACGCACUCUGUAGAGACUGCCUACGUUAAGUAGGAGGAAGGAAGAGGCGACGCUAGGUCUGUAUGGCCUGAAUCUCUGGGGCCACACGUGGCAUACAAUGACGGAGACAAUGAGUCCCGACACCGAAAGGUGAAGGCAAUCUCCUAAACUCCGUCCCAGUACAGAUUGGGGGCUGAAACUCGUCCCCAUGAAGUUGGAAUCCCUAGUAAUCGCGUGUCAUCAUCGCGCGGUGAAUAUGUCCCCGCUCCUUGCACACACCGCCCGUCAAGCCAUCCAAGCGAGGUCUUAGUGAGGCUUCUCCUUCGGGGGAAUUCGAGCUAGGGCUUCGUGAGGGGGGUUAAGUCGUAACAAGGUAACCGUAGGGGAACCUGCGGUUAGAUCACCUCCAAU
RNAcentral lists this ribosomal RNA (1493 nucleotides) under Microcaldota archaeon. RNAcentral describes it as "bacterial SSU rRNA". It matches the Rfam family "Archaeal small subunit ribosomal RNA". Lineage: Archaea; Nanobdellati; Microcaldota. The record is from RNAcentral.